Molecule: ribosomal RNA, 193 nt
Filed under: uncultured bacterium
Lineage: Bacteria
Description: partial 16S ribosomal RNA
Rfam family: Bacterial small subunit ribosomal RNA
Source: RNAcentral
UCUCCUACGGGAGGCAGCAGUGGGGAAUAUUGCGCAAUGGACGGAAGUCUGACCCAGCCAUGCCGCGUGCAGGAAUGACGGCCCUAUGGGUUGUAGACUGCUUUUGUGUGGGAAGAAACCCCUUUACGUGUAGAGGGCUGACGGUACUACUUGAAUAAGCAUCGGCUAACUCCGUGCCAGCAGCCGCGGUAAU